Molecule: ribosomal RNA, 583 nt
Filed under: Cystobasidium laryngis
Lineage: Eukaryota; Fungi; Basidiomycota; Cystobasidiomycetes; Cystobasidiales; Cystobasidiaceae
Description: eukaryotic LSU rRNA
Rfam family: 5.8S ribosomal RNA (bases 166-319)
Source: RNAcentral
UCCGUAGGUGAACCUGCGGAAGGAAUCAUUAAUGAAUUUUAGGACUCUCUUUUUAGAGGUCCGACCCUUUCAUUUCCAUACACUGUGCACACACUUCUUUUCACACAUUUUAACACUAUAGUAUAAGAAUGUAACAGUCUCUUUAUUGAGCAUAAAUAAAAAUAAAACUUUCAGCAACGGAUCUCUUGGCUCUCGCAUCGAUGAAGAACGCAGCGAAUUGCGAUAAGUAAUGUGAAUUGCAGAAUUCAGUGAAUCAUCGAAUCUUUGAACGCACCUUGCACUCUUUGGUAUUCCGAAGAGUAUGUCUGUUUGAGUGUCAUGAAACUCUCAACCCCCCUAUUUUGUAAUGAGAUGGGCGUGGGCUUGGAUUAUGACUGUUGUCGGCGUAAUUGUCGGCUCAGUUGAAAUACACGAGCAACCCAUUUGAAAUAAACGGUUUGACUUGGCGUAAUAAUUAUUUCGCUAAGGACGUUUUCUUCAAAAGUAAGAGGUGCUUCUAAUGCGCUAUUACAGCACUUUAAAUUUUAGACCUCAAAUCAGUCAGGACUACCCGCUGAACUUAAGCAUAUCAAUAAGCGGAGGA